GAUAGUGUUUGCUUAUUUAGAUUUAUAUAAUUGAUUUUUAAUCAAUAGGUCCGCGGUUGGAAUCCGUGCGGGGGCACCA
This 79-nucleotide transfer RNA is filed under the name Candidatus Pelagibacter sp. RNAcentral describes it as "tRNA-Lys". The record is from RNAcentral. Lineage: Bacteria; Pseudomonadati; Pseudomonadota; Alphaproteobacteria; Candidatus Pelagibacterales; Candidatus Pelagibacteraceae.